Molecule: ribosomal RNA, 253 nt
Filed under: uncultured bacterium
Lineage: Bacteria
Description: partial 16S ribosomal RNA
Rfam family: Bacterial small subunit ribosomal RNA
Source: RNAcentral
UACAGAGGCCUCAAGCGUUAUCCGGAUUUAUUGGGCGUAAAGAGCAUGUAGGCGGAUAUAUUAGUCAGAUGUCAAAUCUUCGAGCUCAACUCGAAAACUGCAUUUGAAACGGUAUAUCUAGAGAGAGUGAGAGAUCGAUGGAACAUAUGGUGUAGCAGUGAAAUGCGUUGAUAUCAUAUGGAACACCAAAGGCGAAGGCAUUCGAUUGGCACUUUUCUGACGCUGAGAUGCGAAAGCGUGGGUAGCGAAUGGG